RNAcentral lists this ribosomal RNA (492 nucleotides) under uncultured bacterium. RNAcentral's name for it is "partial 16S ribosomal RNA". It matches the Rfam family "Bacterial small subunit ribosomal RNA", at positions 29 to 507 of the family's 1533-position model. The record is from RNAcentral.
AGUGAACGCUGGCGGUAGGCCUAACACAUGCAAGUCGAACGGCAGCACAGUAAGAGCCUGCUCUUACGGGUGGCGAGUGGCGGACGGGUGAGGAAUACAUCGGAAUCUACUUUUUCGUGGGGGAUAACGUAGGGAAACUUACGCUAAUACCGCAUACGACCUACGGGUGAAAGCAGGGGAUCUUCGGACCUUGCGCGAUUGAAUGAGCCGAUGUCGGAUUAGCUAGUUGGCGGGGUAAAGGCCCACCAAGGCGACGAUCCGUAGCUGGUCUGAGAGGAUGAUCAGCCACACUGGAACUGAGCCACGGUCCAGACUCCUACGGGAGGCAGCAGUGGGGAAUAUUGGACAAUGGGCGCAAGCCUGAUCCAGCCAUACCGCGUGGGUGAAGAAGGCCUUCGGGUUGUAAAGCCCUUUUGUUGGGAAAGAAAAGCAGCAGGUUAAUACCCCGCUGUUCUGACGGUACCCAAAGAAUAAGCACCGGCUAACUUCGUG